This 252-nucleotide long non-coding RNA is filed under the name Setaria viridis. Its description in RNAcentral is "long non-coding RNA (SVIR_LNC007173)". The record is from RNAcentral. Lineage: Eukaryota; Viridiplantae; Streptophyta; Magnoliopsida; Poales; Poaceae.
GAGGAUGGUGUGGUAGGAGUAGGUAGGGAUGGAUUCGGAUUAGACAUGCAUGUAAUCGAAUUCGGAUAGCACUAUUUCCUACAUUUUAAUUCAAAUUCGAAUACGAAUACAAAACGAAUAGUUCAAAUUCGCAUUCGCAUUCAGAUAUUUACUCGACUUAUAACAUAGUGUCAUAACGAGUAUCAAUUUGCUUUAUCAAUGGUUUUAUAAUUGAUCAAAAAUCAUGUUAUCAAUAGGGAGUAAAUUAUGAGC